Podarcis muralis (Common wall lizard) is the source of this 669-nucleotide long non-coding RNA. RefSeq lists it as uncharacterized. The record is from RefSeq and is a predicted model, not a curated record. NCBI's taxonomy places the organism in Eukaryota, Metazoa, Chordata, Lepidosauria, Squamata, Lacertidae.
AGAAGAGGAAGGGUGGGCCUGGGCCUGGGCCUAGGCCUAGGCGAGGGUGGGGAAAGGGAAGAGAAAUACAGGGGAUGAUUCUUUUCCCGUGCAAGGCUAGUAGUUGUUUCUCCUGAGUACGCGCCUGUAACCAGCGAGCGUGCUUUUCGCAGGAGAAGCGUCCCUUCGUCUCGGAGCGUAAGAUGCUUCAGGAGAGCGAAGGGCAUCUAGCGCGCAUGCGCCGUAACUGUCGGGAUGCUUAAAGGAGGCUGUUGUUUCGGGGCGGGCGGGGGGAGUCCUAGCGACGCCGAACAGGAAGAGCCAAGCGCGCCUACAGGAUAUAUGUGCUUGCUACUCUUGAGUUUGAAGAUGGGCAGUGGAAGUGGCACAUGCUUCUGCUAAAAGUGUGUGUUAACAGGGUAGUCAUGAAAUUUUUGUUCUCAACAGUGUUAACAGCAAUGAAAACAUAAAUAACUUUAGUGCCUGGAACAAAGCUAUUAUAAGCUGUAAAUAUUACAAGUGAAUACAGUUUAAAUAAUUGAAAUUAAUGUAUAAGAUUUGUUUGCUUUGUAAAGGCACUUUAACUGCUGUGGAGUAAAUUGAGGAAAGUGCCUCCUCAGUUUGUAUUUUUAUGUGUAUAUGCCUUAUGUUGUGGUUUUGAUACAAUAAAAUUAAAGUGGUUUGCAAUUA